RNAcentral lists this ribosomal RNA (617 nucleotides) under bacterium. Its description in RNAcentral is "bacterial SSU rRNA". It matches the Rfam family "Bacterial small subunit ribosomal RNA", at positions 76 to 678 of the family's 1533-position model. The record is from RNAcentral.
GAGCUUGCUCCUUUGACGUUAGCGGCGGACGGGUGAGUAACACGUGGGUAACCUACCUAUAAGACUGGGAUAACUUCGGGAAACCGGAGCUAAUACCGGAUAAUAUUUCGAACCGCAUGGUUCGAUAGUGAAAGAUGGUUUUGCUAUCACUUAUAGAUGGACCCGCGCCGUAUUAGCUAGUUGGUAAGGUAACGGCUUACCAAGGCGACGAUACGUAGCCGACCUGAGAGGGUGAUCGGCCACACUGGAACUGAGACACGGUCCAGACUCCUACGGGAGGCAGCAGUAGGGAAUCUUCCGCAAUGGGCGAAAGCCUGACGGAGCAACGCCGCGUGAGUGAUGAAGGUCUUCGGAUCGUAAAACUCUGUUAUUAGGGAAGAACAUACGUGUAAGUAACUGUGCACGUCUUGACGGUACCUAAUCAGAAAGCCACGGCUAACUACGUGCCAGCAGCCGCGGUAAUACGUAGGUGGCAAGCGUUAUCCGGAAUUAUUGGGCGUAAAGCGCGCGUAGGCGGUUUUUUAAGUCUGAUGUGAAAGCCCACGGCUCAACCGUGGAGGGUCAUUGGAAACUGGAAAACUUGAGUGCAGAAGAGGAAAGUGGAACUCCAUGUGUAG